AGUCACUGACAUUAGAUACCCCGGUAGUCCCAGCCGUAAACUAUGCUCGCUAGGUGUCAGGCAUGGCGCGACCGUGUCUGGUGCCGCAGGGAAGCCGUGAAGCGAGCCACCUGGGAAGUACGGCCGCAAGGCUGAAACUUAAAGGAAUUGGCGGGGGAGCACAACAACGGGUGGAGCCUGCGGUUUAAUUGGACUCAACGCCGGACAACUCACCGGGGACGACAGCAAUAUGUAGGCCAGGCUGAAGACCUUGCCUGAAUCGCUG
RNAcentral lists this ribosomal RNA (265 nucleotides) under uncultured archaeon. RNAcentral describes it as "partial 16S ribosomal RNA". It matches the Rfam family "Archaeal small subunit ribosomal RNA", at positions 718 to 982 of the family's 1478-position model. The record is from RNAcentral.